CUGUUGUGGGCUAAUGAAGUGAAUAUGAGCAUCUAUUCCACCAGCAGUUAAUAUUUUUCCUUCUCCUGCUAUAACUUCAGUUCCCGCACCAAUAAUAAUAUCAACUUUAGGUUGGAUAUCUGGGUUACCAGCUUUUCCAAUUUUAGAAAUAUAACCAUUUAUAAUUCCUACAUCUGCUUUAAUGACUCCCCAGUGAUCUAAAAUUAUUGCAUUUGUAAUAACAGUAUCAACUGCCCCUUUUGCAUUACUAAUUUGACUCUGACCCAUGCCAUCAC
RNAcentral lists this small RNA (275 nucleotides) under marine eukaryotic metagenome. RNAcentral describes it as "5' ureB small RNA". It matches the Rfam family "5' ureB small RNA". The record is from RNAcentral.